AGCUGAGGACAGGCACUCCUGCCUUCCACCUAAAUUUUGCAUUUCCCGAGACACCUUGGCCCGCCAUUCCCCCGUCCUGUGCCUGUAAAAACUCCAGGCCCUAGAAGGCACACACGCACAAGUGGCUGGACUUCGUGAGGAAUUCAUAGGGGAAGAAGAUGCAAGUGGCUGGUCAUGGAGAGGACUUUUUGACGAGCGCCGGCAAAAGAGCACAGCGAAGAAAUCCCAGGAUACGGAAAGCCCUCUGUACUUGCAACAAGAGUCUCACUGUGUCAGCCAGGCUGGAGUGGCAUGAUCUUGGCUCACUGCAACCUCCGUCUCCCGGGCUCAAGCAAUUCUCCUGCCUCAGCCUCCAGAGUAGCUGGGAUUACAGGUAUGAGCCUUGCAAGAAGACAUACAUAUUUUGCUGAUUGCCAAGGGGAUAAUGCAUUGGGUAUAAGAAGAAGGAAAGUAGAGGAACCAAUUAAGAAAUAUUUACUACAAUUAAGAAGAGAUGAUAAUAACUUCGACCAAGGUGGAGGCUAUGAAGAUGGAGCAAUGCGAAUACAUGGAGACAUGUUUUUGAUGUAGACUCAGCAAGAAAUUCUAAUAUAUUAGAUUUUAUGUUUUGGGAGAAAAAGAGACAUCUCCAAGAUUAUGGCUUGAAUAGAUUGGGACUAAUAGUGAAACUUGAGAGUGAUCACAUAUGGAGAUGAAAGAUUGAAAGACCUCUCGCUGAACAUAAUAUAGAAGGUCUAAAAUACUCUCAAGUCCCCUCCAUCUCAAAAUGACAGCAGUAACAGUGAAAACUAAACAUAGCUGUACCAAGGGCCUGUGUAUCUUACUUCGCCCUCCUUGUGAGUUGCCACUUCCUGUUCAUCCUCCUAUCAACGUGAUAUAAACACCAAAAUAGACCAAAGUAAUUAUCUGGGGAAUGUCCAGAGGGUGUUUACCUUCAGAAAAUUAACAGCUUUGAGACUAAAUCGAUGACCCAGCAAGAAGGUUCUCAUCAGUGGCUGACCAGAUGCCAGAAACAUGCCAUUGGAGUGCCCAGCCUUCAGAACAAUUUUGUCUUCUACCUGAGGAAGAGAGUGAGACAGAGUAACAUAUACAUAGAACAACAAGGAUGGUCGUGUGAAAGAAAAAUCAAAGGAACAGUGUAAUAGAAAGACAGUCGAGCUGGCACUCCAACUGCUGGAGCUGCUCCUGUCUAUCCUGUCAAUACCCAGCUGUGUUAUGCCUUCUCACUCCAUCAAAACAUAAAAUAAAUAAAAGAAAAACGUAUGUGCUUGUAAUGAACAGACUCUAAAAGGGCCUUCAAUUAUACUCACCUUUUUGUAUUCAUAUUCUUGUGUAUUCCCCUUCCUUUGAGCAUGAGUGGGACCUGUAACUUGCUUCCAACCAGUGGGACAUGGCAAAAGUAAUGAGAUGUCACUUAUACAGUUACAUUAUAUAAGAAAUAGUAACUGUCUUGCAAAGAGAUUCCCUCCCUUGCUGGCUUGGCUAAAGCAGGUGACAAUGUUGAGGAGUUCCGCAUGGCAAGAAACUGAGAGUAGCCUCCAGGUAGUAGGCAGAAAGAAAGUGAGGCCCUCAAUCUAACAGCCUUUCAGGAAUUAAAUUCUGCCAACAACCACAUGAACUUAGAAAUAAAUCUUUCCCCGUUCAGACCUUCAGAUGAGAACUCAGCCCUUUCUAUCACUAUGAUGGUAACCUUGGAGAAGACCCAACUAAGCUAUGCCUGGGCUCCUGAUCCACAGAAACUGUGAGAUAAUAAAUGUGAAUUGUUUUAAACUGUUAAAUGUGUGGCAAUACUGUUAUGCAGUAAUAGGGAACUAAUAUGGUGAUAUUAACUAUGUUUUGACACUGUGCUAAAGGUAUAGAAUUAAGCAAAUAUUAUAUAAUGUAAGGGACUUCUCACUUCCUUGUUAUGCAAAUAAUUUAAAACAAUACAAAUUAUAAAAUUAGUUGGUGCAAAGAUCUGUUGAGGAAAGUAAACAGCAGAAAAAAUUAUUUUAUUUGGAGAAAUUAAGGAUGCCUUCAAAGAUAAGAUAGAUCUUGAGGAAUAAAUAAAGAACAAAUGGAAAAAGAAGGAUGAGAAGGAACUUAGGGGUAUAAGUCAAAUGAAAAUGGACUGAUGUGAGAUCAAUUUCUCUUAUGUAUGGAAAAGGAAAACCAAUCAGUAAGCAAAGUGGUGUCUUUGGAAGAACACUUGUGGCAGCAGGGAAUGCAAAAUUGUACCUCAUGAAGAGUACCAUUUCAUUAGGUCAGCAUUAGGCACAUUUUUUCAUUGUUUGUCUCUCUUCCUCAGCUCUCCUGUACAUCUCCCAACUAGCAAACAUUCAUAUGUGUGUGAGCACAUACACACAAGCACAGUAACAACUGGCUUUGUGAUUUAGAAACACACUGGCUUUCCUCUACUCUUUUGAAUGUGUAGAAGAAUAUAAAGUAUCAGUUUUCCAGGGAGCUAUUAUAAUGCCUGGGACAGGUGGAGUAUGCAACACUUGGGAAUUGUGACAAGAGAUAGGUGUCAGAUGGGAAUGUCUCUUCCUCAGUUUCUGGAAGAUUGGACUCAUUCUAUAGAAAUUAGAAAGUCAAGCACUGGUAACUAAUUAGAAAAUAUUUCCUAGUCUUCUUAUCAAUAUGUUUAUAUUUAUAUAUUUUUAACAUUUUAACAGCUUUAUUAAGAAAAGCAAUGGUGGAAGACCUUAUUAGAUUGACAAUGAGAAAGACUAUUCUGUAAGCUUUUAUUAAAAGGUCUUCAAUUGAACCUCUAUAAUGUUAAUGAAUUAGUGUCAUUUAUUCACAUUUCUUUUUCUUUUUAGAGUUUUGUUUCCAUACGUAAACCUUGUAUAAUGCAAAUUUUCACUUACAGAGGGGUUACUUUUCUUCUUGAUUGCAGGGGUUACUUUUCUUUUUAAUGUUCUCUUCUUGAUAGCAACCAUGGCUAUCAAGCCAAUAAUAAACUUCAGGUUAUGGGAAAAAAUUGAUUUCUUUGACUUAUGUUUAUUUCAUGAGUAAAGAGUGAGAAGGCCAGGCUCGGUGGCUCACAUCCGUAAUCCCAGCACUUUGGAAGGCCAAGGUGGGCAGAUCACUUGAGGUCAGGAGUUAGAGACCAGCCUGGCCAACAUGGUGAAACCCUGUCACUACUAAAAAUACCAAAAGUAGUUGGACAUGGUGGCAGGCGACUGUAGUCCCAGCUACUUGGGAGGCUGAGGCAGGAGAAUUGCUUGACCCCUGGGGGCACAGUUUGCAGUGAGCUGAGGUUGUGCCACUGCACUCUGCCCUGGGCAACAGAGAGGGACUCCAUCUCAAAAAAAAAAAAAAAGUGAGAAAAUCUUUUAUCUGUGGAAGUGUCUUAGUCUUGAAGAACAAAACUAUUUGAAAUUUAAAACUAUAGAAAAUGAAAUAAUGUUUACUUUUUAUGGUUAACAUUUUGGUGGUUUUUUAAUCAAUAUACACUAUUUAUAAUUCAAAUUUUGAGGAAUUACCUUUUUAAGCAAUACAUUCAACAAAUUCAUAGGAAGACUUGAAUUACAAUGUUUAUACAUUUUACCCUGGUGCAUUAAUAAAGCACAAUUUAAAAUCAUAUGUUUCUUUAAGCAUUUAAAGAAAAUUAUUAGAAAAUGAUACUUGUCAAUAGAUGCACUUCCUUAUUUGUCAGCCUCUUUUAGAAGAAUACUCCUUAGAAGGACUCCAGGUGUGAUUUUUUUUCGGUGAGAAAAACAUACAAAGAAUCUUUGUUUCUGGUCCUUCAUCUGAGUAACAUUUCACUACAUAUCUUUUUGCCUCAUAUUAACUAUGUAAUCAACUGGCUUUGUGAUUUAGAAAACAAUGAAAUACCUGUUAAGUUUUCCAUAAAUCUCUUUCUGUAAGAAUUAUACACCCCAACUGUCAUGAUUCUAUUCCAUCGUUUUUCCCACCAUCAUGCCUACAGUUGAUUGAACCAGUUAAGGAUGUCUACUCCUAGCUAGACCAAUUAUUUUUCAAUUUGAAAUUUGGUAUAAAGACUAAGAAAAUUUGUAUUUAAUCUGGUUAGAUCAAGAAAAUAAAGAAACUAAACUCAGGAAACCAAGGUUUUUCAUUUGUAUAUGAAGAAUCACAGAGAACAAGCAUGCAAGGAAAGAAGAAUGAAUCAGACAAUGGAAAGAUAAAAGGAUGAGAGAGUGAAGAAGGUGUGCUGUUUAGGUUUCUGAUGGCUUUCUACUUAUUAGUUCCAAUCAUGGCCACAGUUAUAAGGAUCAACUGCUUUUGAUUUCCAUGAAAUGGCAAAAGCUUCAUCAAAUGCAUUUACUUAUUUUGCUUAAGCUCACUUCAGUUUGGUCAGAGGCGUUUCAACCAGUGCAACUCCAUGUUGAAUAGGGGCUGGGUAAAAUAAGGGUGAGACCUACUGGGCUGCCUCCGCAAAUGGUUAGACAUUCUAAGUCACAGGAUGAGUUAGGAGGUUGGCACAAGAUACAGGUCGUAAAGACCUUGCUGAUAAAACAGUGUGCAGUAAAGAAGCCAGAUGGCGACCACAGUAACCCCUGAUCGUCCUACUGCUAGGCUCCCACCAGCACCGUGACUGUUUAAAAUGUCAUGGCCAUGUCAGGAAUUUACCCUAUAUGUCUAAAAGGAGAGGCAUGAAUAAUCCACCCCUUGUUUAGCAUAUAAUCAAGAAAUAACCAUAAAAAUGGGCAACCAGCAGCCCUCGGGGCUGCCCUGCCCAUAAAAUAGCCAUGCUUUCUUCCUUUACUUUCUUAAUAAAUUUGCUUUUAGUUUAUUCUACAGACUAGCUCAAGAAUUACUUCUUGCAGUAGAUCCAAGAACUUUUUCUUGGGGUCUGGAUCUGGACCCUUUUCGGGUAACAGCUUCUUUCUGUUAUUUACAAUUCAAAUAGUCAUAACUGAGGUAUUUCCUAGUUCUCCUUCAAGUAGAAACAAAAUGUUUUCAUAUUGGAAAAAUUAAUAGAAUAAAUUUUUCAGAAACUAAAUGGAAAACUCAAUAUAUAUUCCUAAUACUAUAGACAGAUUAGAGAGAGAGAGAGAGAGACAGAGAGUGAACUCCCAAAAUCUGAGACAGGUUUCAAUUUAGGAUGUUUAUUUUGCCAGAGUUAAGGAAGCAUGCCUGUGACACAGCCUCAGGAGGUUCUGAUGACAUGUGCCCAAGGUGGUUGGAGCACAGCUUGGUUUUAUACAUUUUCGGGAGACCUAAGACAUCAAUCAGCAUAUAUAGGAUGAAUGUUGGUUCAGUCCUUAAAGGUGGGGCAACUGGAAGCAAAGGUGGGACAACUCAAAGUAGGGAAGGGGCUUCCAGAUCAUAGGUGUAUAAGAGAAAAAUGGUUGCUCUCUUCUGAGUUUCUGAUUAGCCUUUCCAAAGGAGGCAAUCCGAUAUGCAUUUACCACACUGAGAAGAGGAAUGACUUUGAAUAGAACGGGAGGCAGGUUUGCCCUAAGCAGUUACCAGCUUGACUUUUCCCUUUAGCUUAGUGAUUUUGGAGCCCCAAGAUUUAUUAGAUAGACAGGUUAAUUUGAGACGCUGCUGUGGGAUCAUACCUCAUUUUUGGUUGAGUUCCACAAUAUUUUAUUGCACAUAUAUUUUGGUCAGAAGGGAGACUCAGUAAUGAGAAAAAUAUUUCUGUCUUUUGGAAGCUUAAUGUAGCAGUGAAUAUAUAUGUCUGAAGAGAAAUAUUUAAGUGUUUGCCCUUAAUUUUUUUAAUGAAAUUGUAAUUGUAAUUUUGUAAUUUGGGGUAACACAUGGAACGAGUUAAGAAUGGAGUUGGGCUAUCCUAGGGAGAGUCUUAAAAGGAGAUUUAUCAGGGCUACCGCCUUGCUCUAAAUUAUUCAGUAAAAGCAGCAUUUAGUAUAUUUCUAUGCCUCAGAAAUAUUUUGAGAAUAAAUGAAAUAAUAUAUGUGAAGUUUCUACAUUGGAAAAAGGCAGUGCUAUGUGUCUGUAAGUAGGGGAGAGAUCUAGAAUUCAGUUUCAGGGACUGCUUUUCAUGGGCUUAACCAGGAUUAGUAUUAACUAUAGAUAUAAUUUUGUAUCCUAUUGCUGGGUUAUGAAAACUAGCAAAUAAGCAAAAUUGAUGUCACAGGUGGAAAUGAUUUACACUUGUAAUUGACACAUACUUCUGAUAACCUGCAAUUUGACAGGGAAAACAACUUAUUCAUAAACCUGUGGGCAGUAUAAUUUUAUAAUAGGCUGAAUGCUUUAAAAUGGAAGUGAAAAAAUUCUCUCUGAAUUUUAAAAGUUAUAAUUCAAAAGAAUUCACAAUGCCUAUGAACAAUACUAUUUUCUGUAUAACACCCACUUUGUCCUCAGCACCAUAUUAAAUGUGAUACAGCAAAAAAACAGUCUCCUUUCUCCUUUAAGGCAUUUUCAUCUCAGUAAGGCAUAACCAUUACACAGAUUCCUCUCUUCUUUUGAAAAAUGAGCUGGAUAAAACUGGCAAAUAGAUUUGCUCUUCUAUAUAUUGUUUCACUUGUUUGUUGGCAUAAGGUAAUGUUCAGAGUUACACCCAUCUCACGUGAGUUAGGCACAUGAAUGUAUAAGAGAGAGUGGAAUUGGCUUCAAGCAUGUGAAAAGAGACAACAAUAAAAAGAAGUGAAGAAUGAGCCAUCUAGAAGGUCCAGGAAGGAGAGUAGGAGGGAGUAAAUGUAGCCAUGAGCAAAGCUUUUAUUAGUGAAGCAUAAACAGGAAUGUGGGCAUAUUAUGGAAUAUCUGCAUGUCAUGGCAAUGAGGCAGAUUAAUGAAGGCUCUACAACCUAGAAACAAUUAAAUUUGCUAGAGAGUUUGAGAGUCUUGUAAAGAGAAAUUUCCUGUACAAAGGAGGUGGUAAGAAAAAGUAUUAUGAGAGUAUCUUGAGAGUUUUCUUUCCAUUUUAAAGAAUUAAGCCCCAAGGUAUUCAUUGCCUUAGGAAAGAAGGAGAAAGUGAGAAGUCCAAAAGUGUACCAAAGGAGUCUAAAUAUGUCUUGUGGGAAGAAAGAAAAAGCAGGAGAUUCAAGGAAAAAAUAAAAUGGCCUAGAACAACUACAUGGAGGGUGACAACUUCUAUAUUUACAAAGAAGUAACAAGGAAAGAUGAGUAAUAAUUGGGGAAUAAAACUUGGGUGACGGAAAAGACAAUGUUCACGUUAUUUCAGCAGGAUGUGUUUACCUCUGGGCUCCUAGAAAACAACAAACAAGGGUGAGGGGAGGUCAUUCAUUUUCACACCCAACUAGGAGGGUGGCAGAAACUAUUUCUAGGUUGUGUGACUCAGAGCAGCCAAGGCCUAGCCACUGAAAUUCUACCUCCUGAGCUGAAAGGAUCUGCACCUCUCUUGUAACUAGGUCUGAACUAGGUGUUAUGUUUUGUUUUGCUUUCGUUCUAGGUUAUAUUGUCAGUGGCAAUAAAAAAAAGUGAAAUAUUUCAUUGGUUGGUUUAAACACAGACACAUUGGCAGUAAUCGCCAUGAAUUAUAUGAUGAAAUUAGCUCUGUUCUCUAGCAAUGAGUAAUUUUUUCCACAGAGUAAAAAAAAAAUAAAUAAAUAAAAUGAGAUAAAAGAAACCGGAGAAAGAAACAUAAAAGAUGAAGCUUCAUGACCAAUAGGAAAGGGAGGAAGGAUGAAUGGGUGGAAAUAAAAAGAAUUGUCUAUCUCACACAUUCUAGGGCCUCUGUGAAUAUGUGUGGUAUAUUCACAAACAACAUCUGUGAGGUGGAUUUACUAAACAUGUUUUAUAGAUGAGAAAAUCUGCAAGGUAAAAAACAAUCUGCUCACAUUCAUAUAUCCGGUGGCUUUAUGCUCCUGACUUUUCAUACAUUUCCUUUCCAAUAAAUGGCUCUACCCUUUCUGUCUGGUAAAAUCAUAUUCAUAAAGCCAUGCUUGGCCCUAAUUUUCUCUGUGAAGAUUUCACCAACAUUUACCUAACAAUAAAACUGUUUUCAAUUAACAUAAGUCCAAAUUCAGAAAAAUAAUAUUGCCUCGAAUGUGCAACCUUAGUACCGCUGACCAAGACAGUUUUAAUUUCCCUUCAGCUUGCCUAAACUUCAGAGAAAUUUCUUCCUGACACUAGUCCCCUGAUUUCCCUUUUGUUAGAACUACUUUAGAAAACUUGUAAUUUGAAUUUUUUUCUCUGUCUCUUUUGUAAUGUACAUAAAUCUUCCAGCCUCUUGUUAAUUUUAGAACCCAAGGGUGUCUUUCUUAAGGACCUGGGAGUCAUCUUGUUGAAACGUAAUCAUGAAGGCAAAUGUGCUUCUAUUGCCUAGUCUCUGUGGGAAGGUAUGAACAUAACUUCCAUGGACACAAAUUAGCAAACACAGAUGGUUUAAUUACAGAAUGAAAUAUUCACAAACUCAGAGAUAAUUCCAUAUACUCCACAUAUCCUAUUGAUCAACCUCACCACACCCAAUAUCCUUCAGCACUUUUCCACUAGCUCACUCCAGAGCUUAAAAAGCCUUCUGCCUCUUGUUUCAGUGGAGUUAUAUUUAAUCUCUCUCCUCUAUUGUAAUGUUGUAAUAGUCUUGAAUAAGUCUUUCUUGUCUAACUUUGUCCAGUGCAAUUGUUAUUUGACACUGAAAGAGAAUAACAUAGAUGAGGGUAAUGGUAUUAUCCUGGGUUAUCAUUGAAGAGGGACUUAUUACUUGAGCACCUAUUAUGUACAAAGAGCUACACUAAAUACUUUUAUUCAUAAUCUCAUUUAGCUGUUAUACUAUUUAAUCCUGUUAGGAAGCUGUAGUCAUCCUAUUUUUUUGCAAAUGAGAAAUGAGCUGAAGAGAAAUUAAUUUAUUAGGUAGAUAUGUAUAGAUAUAGAUUAAUAUGUAGGAAGGUUAGGAUUCUAAUCCUGGUUUGUUCCCCCAAAACAUGUUCUUUUGUACAUUUUUGCAUACUACUUUCCAAAGUGUUUUUGCAUAUCUUAACUAAAUAUUCCUUUUCUAAAUCUUAUAAAAUAGAUGUUAUCACUCUCAUUUUGUAGAAAAAUAUAUUGGAGAUAAACUGGUAAAUAUUUUGUGUAUGGUACAUGGUGAUGGUCAAAACAGAAAGUUAUAAGCUAUAUUUUGAAAAAUUUAUAUCUUGGGGAUAAAUGAGAAUGAAACAGAAGUUACAGGUGUCAGCCAAGUGAAAGAAAAUAUGAGUAUGUAGGCUUAGGAGCAUUGAAAAGACAAGCACUUAGCUAAGCAUUGAAUCUUGCCAGAGAGAUAGUACGUUAGCAAAUAUUUACAUGCCUAUUACCAUAAAGUUAAAUAUAUACUAUUGUCUACUUUAUUAUCAUAAAGUUGUGUUUCUAAGCCUGUUUGAGUAACGGAUAAGAGAGCUAUUCUUUACUAUUAAGUGAUUGUUUUACCUGUUUUAAGGCUUACUGACUUGUAACCUUAAACUGGAAAAUAUUUGGUGUAGAAAACUGCAUUUGUAUGAAUGUUUGCUGAAGGAAACUAUUCACUUAAAGUUGUAAACUGUCUUUGUCACAGAGGUUAAGUUUGCCUACCGGUCUUGAUAAUUAGCUCAUUAUGACCUAACUAAAAUUGUUCCAAUUAACUAUAUUGGUAUAAAAGAACUGUGCAGAAACUGUUAACAUUAGGGAUAUUAGCUGAAGGCAAAUUCUUCCUGAUAAAAAUGUAUUUUACAAGUAAAAAUAAUGUGAUUAACUGUUCCAGUAAAAAAAACAUGGUGCAUUCAAGGGAGGAUAGUUGAGAAAUUUGAAUGGAGAGGCAAAUUACCAAAGAAGUGAACAGGAUUAGGGAAAACUAACCAAAGAUGGUGAAGCUCUCUGGUGCUGGAAGGGAGCACUUACUUGACUAUUUCAGAAUGAUUAAGAAAUGAGAGCAGUUACAAGCAUUCAGAAAGUAGUUGUAGCUGUGUGUAGUGCUACUCAUAGGAGCUAAGGUUUUUGGUAGAUACAUUCAGCUUAUCAUGUAGGCUUAUCAUGAAAAAAGAUGGUGAAAUAAAUAUCCUAACACUCUUCCAGCUCUCUGAUCUUCUGCUGGUGACUUCCACAAACCCAAUCCAACAAGAAGCUAGAGGGCAAGAUAUCAUAUUGAUUCAUCAGGAAAGGUCUGCAUCCCAGGGCACAGACUUGGCACAGGAGGUGGAGAGCAGAUAUGGAGCAGCAGUUCAAAGUCUUUUACUCCUGUCCCUCCAUAGCCACACUUAUCCUUUGCCCAGAUUAAAAAUCUCACUUCAGGGAGUAUGCAAGUCUUAUCAGCUACAAUGUCAUCAUGAGGUGAAGUCAAUUCAGUAAAAAAAUCACACCUAAGACGUAGUCAAUGAGCAAAAAUGGAUGGAGGAACUAAUUAACACAAUUCACUGUUGCUAUAGGUCCCACUUAUGUAGGUGGUCAAAAUGCUUUAACAAGAACAGCUUCACUCUUCCACACCCAUGCCAUGUUCUCUUUAUGUUCUGUUUGCUAGUAUCAUAGUUGGACAAGCUGGGGAGACCGAAUAUUUUAUUGCUAUAUGAUCUGAGUCCUUGCUUCUCUUUCUUUAUUGGGUCACUGCAGUUCUUCACUAAGAAAAAGAGUCCUAAGAAAGUCAUUCAAGUUAAUUUCCAUGGCUGGUGACCCUCUCUCUGCCUGUUGGUUCAGUGGCAGGAACAUCCUACUCACAAAUUACCAAGAGAAAUCAUCAAAUUUCAAAUUAAUACAAUAAGUAUGAUUCCUGGUGGAAACAAUUCCUUCCUUGUACACCCUCCAAAUGAACCAAGCCCUGAAUUUCAGGAAGGGGAAGUUUCAAAAAAUGAAUCUCUUAUAUGGGAUCUACUGCUACCUAUAACGGAGGCUGCUAGUUUAAGAAAUCCACCCUUUUCUAUAGGAUAGUGCCCCAACUGUACAGGGUGUUCUCUCCCAUCUGGUUCUUUAAGUGAACAUUCAUAUUGUUAUUCCACCACUCUAUCUGGUAACUUCUUUUGGGUGAUGGCACACAUGUAAGUCUUUAUUUCACAGGUGGGAACCCUCUAAACACUUUAUUUGCCAUAAAUGAAUUCUCUAUUUGGGGCAAUUUUGUAUUGGUAUAAAACUUUUCCAUGGAAAUAAAAAAGAAUGUUGUAAAUUGUAUUAGUCAGGGUUCUCUAGGGGGACAGAUGGGAGUUUAUUUAGUAUUAACUUCCAUAAUCACAAGGUCCCACAAUAGGCUGUCUGAAAGCUGAGGAGCAAGAAGAGCCAGUCUGAGUCCCCAGACUGAAGAACUUGGAGUCUGAUGUUCAAGGGCGGGAAGCAUCCAUCACGAGAGAAAGAUGUAGGCUGGGAGGCUAGACCGGUCUCUCCUUUUCACAUUUUUCUGUCUGCUUUAUAUUCACUGGCAGCUGAUUAGAUUGUGCCUACCAGAUUAAGGGUGGAUCUGCCUUCCCCAGCCCAAUGACUCAGAUGUUGAUCUUUUUCUGGCAACACCCUCACAGACACACCCAGGAUCAAUACUUUGUAUUCUUCAGUCCAAUCAAGUUGACACUCAGUAUUAACCAUCACAUAAGUCAAUAAAUUCUGACAUUAGCAGAAGUGUUGUGAGCAGUGAAGGUAAGUCAGUAUCUACUUCUUUAAUUCUUUUAGCUCAUAAGCUAUCUGCUUCUGGGCCAAGUCUUGUACCUCUGCAUCUGCCUAUAUUUAACUCUUCCCAAUUCUCACUAUAAGCCUGGGAGCAAUGAGGUCCUAAGGAAAAAACCAUCUCUUUGUGAGGCAGUUGUGAAAUCAUUGAAAGGCCUUCAUCUGGUAGAAAACAUGUUCUCUCAGCUUAGAGCAGCAGGAAAGAGACUUCACUCACAGUAAGAAAGAAUUUUGGAAUACAGCGUUCUUAACUUUCCUUGGGUAUAUUCAUCUAUCCCUGUCUCACACUUCAGGCUCCAUUUCUUCCCCUCUAGUGUCUUUACCUUAUUAUAAAAGACUUGGCAUUGUUCUUCAGGUGAUUGUAGCUGAAAUUAUACCUUUACAAUCAGACCCUAAACUUCAGCCUCAACUAUGUCUAUCCUUGGGCUAUAGAAAAUAAACCACUCCUUCAAACCUAGCAUAUAUAUAUAUAUAUAUAUAUAUAUAUAUAUAUAUAUAUAUAUAUAUAUAUAUUUGCUAGGUUUAGCGCAUAUAUAUAUAUUAGCAUACAUAUAUUAGCAUAUGUAUAUAUAUAUUAGCAUAUAUAUAUAUAUUUGCUAUUCUACCCAUGUUCUGAAUUAGGCAUUCAGGUUAUUAGUUUGUCAUUUUUUUCUCUGUAUAAUUUCUAGAUCCAUCAAAAGCAGCAAUCCAUUGCAAUAAUUUGUUUUAGUGACUGCUGUUGCAAUAGUGACUAAGAAUCACAGCUACUUGCUCUACCAAUGUCUGCCCUUCCACUUGUACAUCAUAUCAAACCACUACCUGUGAUAAUCCAUGAUAAUCUGUGAUAUCUCACUUUAUGCUAAGUAUUAACACUUUCUUAUUUUCCCCUGGCAAGGGAGUUAUCCAUGUACUUCUCAAAUAUGUGCACAGUCAAAGCUGGGCUUCCAAUCUUUGCAAGGGAAAGCCUUGACAGUGCCAACCCAAGACCUGGAAGGAAGGAAAUCUAGCCUCUUUUUCUGAACCUGCUCUUUUCCUGACUUCCAAAUUUAUGCUUGUGAUUUUAAUGGCCCAGAUCCAAAUUGAAGUUGUGUGGCAAGGAGCCUGUUGAUGUAGUUUAUAUGUCUGGAACAUAUAGCAAAGUAAGAUCGAGUAGAGCAGAUAUAAGAACUAGGCAAACAGAAUAUUCAGCACAUUUGCAGAAUACUUUAAAAAACAAUGCAAAAUCUUCAUUGGAAAUGAUGGUUAUAGGAGUUAAACUCAGGUUGUUUGACUAUGUCAAUCUUUUUCUCAUUGCCUAUGUUGUAAAUACCCAUUUUGAUAACUUUCCUACCUCAUUCUCAAAUCUCACUGCAGACCUUUAAAAUGAAAUAAUUAAAUAACCACUAAGCAGGACAAGAUGAGCUAGAAGUCAGCAAUAUCGUAGCUUUCUCUAGUUCUCAGCAUUCACUAUCAAAUCCAUCUUGUAUAUUUUGCAUACCAUAUUUAACUCAGGAAUAUAAAUGGAGAUAAAAAUAAAAGACAGUGUGAGUAGCUUCUUAAAAAGGAGAUGGCAUAGGAAAGUGGAUAGACUUCUAUUCUCAUUAGCACUUUUCUGAUCCUGUGAGAUUUGGGAAUUAUCAUCCAUUUGAAGCUAUUAAAAUUGUCAAAUAAUACCUUGCUAAAUAAAUAACUCAGUGUUUUUCUCUCCAACCCCCUGGAAUUCCUGAUGCAUCCAAUUCCCCUGAGAAGCCUGAGUUGGCAUCCAGGCCUCCACAUGUGAUUUGUAGGCCUUGAUGGAACAGGUGUGGGCAGAAUUGAAUCUUUAAACAUGUUAACUGUUUAUGCUCAUCUCAUUUGUCCCUUCACAAUGGAAAUUUGAGAAGCGGUGAUCCACCAUUUCUCUAUGUGUCCCACUUCUCUGUGUUCUCGACUCUUCCUUUGUUAUCACUAGACAGAUGUUUUUAUAUGCUCAGCAUUAAAACUUUGAUGAACUUCUCUGAAAUGCUACUUUAGGGAUAUAUACUGAAUAUAUUAUUAGUAUUAUAUACCACUAGAUGAUGAAAAAAAUCUAGAUUCUCCAUUGCUCUGUUAUUAAGAGCAACAAAAAAACAUGAGUUCUUUGCAAAUAAAGUCCUCAGCAAAAUAAUUUUGUAGCUCUUCAUGAACUUAUAAUGUUAAAUUAUUAAAAGCCUUCUUAAGGAUUUUGUACUUGAAUUCACUAAUAAAAAAGGGCUUGCAAGCAAUAGAGUGACAGCACUAUUUUAUACUUUAAUAUACACAAACAUAUAUGUAUGUAUAUAUAUAUAUAUGUGUAUCUAUAUUUAAAAUAAAGUCCAUUUUACCUCUUGAAGAUUUCUUUUUCUACUUAGUAUGGAGAUUGACCAAGAACCUUAUCAUUGACCCAUGUCAACCCUACAAAGCCUAUCCACUGAUUUCAUGCUCACUCCCAGCUGUGUGGCUGUGCUAUUAUUUUUGUUUUCCUCUCCUGCCUACACAUUUAGAUUGUACUCAUCCUUGUCUUUGUGUAUCAGAAUAUUCCAUUUCUUUCAAAAUACCUCAAAUCCUUCCCCAUGAAACUUUUCCAAAGGCUUCAUCUCCUUCUGAAGUGGAAGUUUUUAUAUUAUUGUUGCAGAACUUUCUCCUUAGUUCAGCAAAAACCGGGCUCUUGUCACACAGCUAGGAAAGAUUAGGCUAACAGACACCUAGAAGCAUGAGGAAAAUAGAAGUUACUGGGCGUAAAGGAAAUAGAAAAAAUAACUUUCAGCAAAGUGAGAGAGAGGUCUGCUAGCAGAUUUCCAGCCUCACAGACUGAAGCCCAGGUCAUCACACAGGAACAGGAGAGGCUAGGCUUCUCCCCACUGCAAACAGCAUGAACUUCCCAAGCUCCGCACUGUCCAGUGCACAGGUGGGCAUUAUUCAGAAAGAAUCAGUCAGGAAAGGGCAGGCAUUAUCUGGGACCAGAAAUCCAGCUUUUCAGCCUUCAGGGUGUUUUAGGCUUGAAGGCAGGGUUUCGCCAGGGACCCUUGGCUGUCUCCUGUCUCUAUCAUUCCCCCCUCUGAAAAGUACACCUGAUUGCCAUUAGAAUAAAGAUAAGGAAAAGGAUGAAGACUGAUCUUAACUGCUUCCUGCUGACAGGUAGCACUGUUUUGGGAAAAGAGCAGUCAGAUCUCCCUUAGAGGCCUAUCUAAGGGUUCCCAGCAAAAGGAACAAUUGAACCAGGCUCCGGUUGCAUGACCAUUUGGAGAUUGAUGGCCAGAAGGCAAGAAGAGACAAACUGGGUUAUUAGAAAACAAGUCUUAAAACAAAACAAGGUGGUGGGGGAGGUUAAUGACAGCUCAAAAAUCCCAAGACUUUUUACUAAUUUGCAUGGGUAGAGGAAGCCCAAAAGUGUGGUUGGAAAAAAAAAAAAAAACUUUUACUGUUCUUUAGGCAUGCCAGUCUUCUGGUUUCCCUUUCCUUGAGCCCAGUCCUAAGCCAACCAGUCUAAGGUUUGGCAAAUUAACUCUUUCCAGUUUGGAGGAUGCAUCCUAGGGGAGUGUGCUGUAGUAUAAAGACAUAAUUACCUAUCCAUGAAGGAGGACAGAGGAGAAAAAAGGGGGAAAAAGGCAUUUUUUUUCAAAGGAGUCCCGGGGUGCAGGAUGAAUUCAAAAGGUGUACAUACUGAAGACAAAUGGCUACUCAUCUAGAAAGAGAGGAGCAGGCCUCCCUGGUUCCCUUCUUUUCCUAGCAAAUACCCGGGGUACAUGAGGGAGAGAAAUCAAGGCAUCUCUCAUUCUUUAUUCCGUCCUUGUAUCUCUGAGUCCUAAUAACUGUGACAAGGUGCCACCCAGUAGUGUCAAAAUGAUGUUAACAGGGGGUUUAGGUGGUAAGAAUAUCUGCUCUUACCCACAUAUGCCCUAUCUCCCCUGCUCAGUACCUUUGAAUUCCCUGGACCUCAUUUAUGCCAUGGUUACUAGCAUGAUCUUUAUCCAUGAAAUGGGAAACUUGGCUUAAUUGACAGGAAUCAGUUAUGCUCACCUGCACUAUGCCUUUUAACUCUCAUUAUCAUCUACCUCUGAAUCUCUCAGAUCCAGUUUUUUGGAUGCAAAGCUUGGAAUUAAGUUUGAGACAAAAAAAUGUGUUUCAGGGAUUGCAAGAACUCCUUAUCAUAAACCAAACGCUAAGGUGAAGCUGUGGAAUUGAGUCCUCCUCCAACAGGGGAGAGAAAAAGAUGUCUUGUGACAUGCCCAGAUAACUGGUGGCUAUAGUUAUACUUGCUAAGAUUUUGGUGCAUGGGGCUUGGCUUUCGUUGGCUCCCUUGGUCUUACUUUUGCAAAAAGGCAUCCUCCAGGUGAUGGGCAUCCUAUUUAUUCCCAUUACCCAGCAGGAUUUGCAGGACAAUUGCUCAGAACCAGAAUAAUUGAUCCAGAGUUUUAUAUCACCCAUCCCUUUUUUUCCUUCUGAGCUGCAGUCAGAGAUUGCUGGUUGGUUCACAGGAAAAAGCAGGGUUAGUCUAAUGUGGGCAAAAGCUUAAAAACAGCUAAUGAGUCUAGAAUCAAAUGACAAAUGUAUAAUACAUUUUGAAACAUAAUUUCUCUCUCUCCAGUCCUCAUUCUGUUAAAAAAAUCAUAAUAGGACUGAAUGUUUGCAAAAUAAAUUUUAGUCUUAUAAUUGACCUGAUUAUUUGUGUAAAGUGCAGCAGGAAUAAUUAUUUAUACAUAAGCCUUUUAGAUUGGCUUGGAUGAAACUCUGUUCCACAAGGAAUCUCAGAUAAGACCAUUUAAAUCCAAGCCCAGCCAUGGGUUUGUAGCCUCAAAUACCUGUGAGUUGCAUAAUCCUCUCCUAUUAAGGUCCCAAAAUAAACUUGGAGCUCCUGUGCCUGUCAGAAAGUGACACUCUUUACUAACCCUAGGUCAGGAACCCUGUACAAGACCGCAUAGACAAGAGUAUGAUGCCAGUUUUCUCAAAGACUUUUUAUCAGCUCUGCAAGUCGAAAUUGACUCCUUAAAGGGAGGCACUCCCUUCUAGUCAAAGCCCUGAUAAAACAACCAGUUUCUCCAAUUGUGCCCUGUUGCAAAACAAAAUGGAUCUUAUUUCACUGAUGCAAACAACUAUAUUGCUAUAAGUUAAGAAUACUCACAACUAGUUUCCAAAUUCUGGAAAAGCCAGGCAGAGACAAAUAUGCUUCAAAUUUUGUUCACAGGAGUAUACAUUACUCAAUAAUUAAAGGCCAUAAAUAGUUCAAAAUAAAUUUUAUUGACUCUAAAAAACAAAACAAGAAUCAGCAAUAUUCCAAACAAAAGUAAAAAAGAUGGCUUCAUUUUUCUGUGAGUUUAGUCCAUUUAGUUAACUCUUGUUUAGCUUGAUAUUCGUGAACAUUUAAGCUCUUCAUGAGUCCUGUACAUUUUUCCUUUAUUCCAAUGUCCCAAUCUCCAAAGUUAUCAGAAACCUGUAUUUGAGAGCACGUGUCAGAGUUCUAUGGCUGAUUAUAAACCAUCUUUUGAAAAGGAUCAAAACAAGGAAACAAUUGUCUGUGAACAACAAAAUGUCCAAGGCAGUUACAGUUAGAAACACAAUUGACAAAUAAGUUUGGUUAUCUCUGUGGUUCACAAUAACUUAGCAUAACAACCUUAAUUAUGAUUGAUACCAUAUACUUUAGACAUUAAAAUUCUAGAAAUCUCCUACAGUUUUAGAACAUAUAUUAAUAUUAUUCACCAAAAUAUAACCUAAAGAAUAUUGAACACCACUUUGGCAAGUCCAUGUAACUAAACAUGUCAAAUAAUCCUGUUUACCUCUCUUGUGAAUACUACAGGGGCCCUCUGUAGCAGCCAAAGCUUGGCAUCAGAAAAGACAAUUUUGAAACUGAAGUUUGAUUUUGGGAAGUCUGAUAGAUGUGUUAGAGGUUUAAAACACUUCAUGUUAUUAAAUAGAAUUUCAGAUUACCAUAAGUUAUUUAUUUUGCCAAAAUGAUGACUCAGAAAUUUUAAAAAGCAAAAACCUUUUAUAACCCCUUACAAAUUUUGCUAAAAAGCAGAUUAGCACCUUAAGAAUACCUUGUUGUGCUUUUAUUUCAAUGCUCAAUGUACAGAAAACCCCUACUGAAUUUAGUCAAUAUGCUCAUACGUGGAAUUUAUUUUGCAAUAUUAAUUUUUACAAUCUUUCCACCAGUUGUUUGAAUUUAUAGCUUUAUCUUAUCUAAUUUAAAACAAUUAUUUAACCCUAGGCAAGAAUUUAUUUUUUUGCCUUUUAAUAAUCUUUUAUUAAAAACAAAUUUUACUGUUUUUACACACCUUGUAUGUAAAUAUAUUUCCAGCAGUUUCUAUUACAUGUUAUAACGGCAACUCCUAGCAAUUUUUAACUUUAAUGUAAAGCCUGGUAAGUUGUUUUAAUUGUGUUCUAGGUGCAGCCACGGUUUGAAUGUUUGACUCCUUUAAGCAUAAUUAAGGGUGUGAUUAGUUCCAUAUGUUCCCAGGUCUUACCAGUUGUUAGGCAGGAAGUCAAACAGUUCUCAAAAACCAAAAAAGUAGUUAAUAACCCCAAAACAUUUAGCAAACCUAGUACCUAACCUGCAUAAUUUAGUUCACCUAUUUACAUUUUGAUGACCUCUGCAUUUUACUAAUAAUUUUUAAGGCUGUUUUUAUUUUUCAAAGAUUAAAGUCACAUGAACUAUAAGGCACCGCAGCUUUUAUCUUCCCUUAAAAAAUAUUUGGUCCAAGCACUUAUUUUUCUUUAUGCCAAUUAAUUACAGCUCUCUUUUAUAGACAUCACACACAACCCAUAUGUAACUACAUAGACUGGCAGAAGAAAACCCAGUGGCUAUAAGAUUUUUCAUUUGCUAAUCUCCUAAUUGGAUUAUUAUCCUCUCAUGCAUACAUUAAGAGUGGCAAGACAAGGUGGAGAAAAAGAAUUCAGUCAACUGAAAAAGAAUCAGUCAACUGGAAAAAACUUGUUCCAACAAAACAAGAUCCCAGAAGAGAAAAACAUAAAGGCCUUUUAAAUAUACCUAUAACUUGAAUAUUUACUUGCAAUUAAGCUGAACACUCUCUAAGAAAAUCCUUUUAACUCUCUUACUACCCGACUUUAACUGAACCAGGAACCCAAUAUUUUUGUCUUUUAAACUUUACUAAUGGUAACCUCACAGGUUAAACCAACAAGCCUCAAUUAAGGUUAUGAUUUAACUGUGAGUAUAUGAGGUAUUUCCAAGCGGUGUGAGCAGUUCUUACAAAAUUUAGAACCUUUCAAGAUAACCCAGAGAAAAGAAGAUUUAAGAAAAAGGCUAGAAGUUGUUCAUAGAGGUGAAGAGAAUCAGCAAAUGGCAAUAGCUAUACAGAUAUCAACCUAAAGUACUCAUUCUCUAAGCCGGAAUUGAACCUAGGUGCCAUUGUAAAAUGGUGGAGGCUAGAACAAAACAUCGCCAUGUGGUUUCAGAUCAUGGUAAAACAAGAUGGAGGCCUGCAGCAAAGUUUGCUACUGAACAUACAGAAAGUUAGGCAAAGCACACUGGAUUUGCUUCAGUUUAAGACCAACCCCACAAAUCCUUUUUCAUAAUUAAAAUUUUACAGAGAAUAUAAACAGUGAUAGCUGGGGUCCUGCCCUGUAAAAUGUUUUCUAAAAAGAAAAAAAAAAGCCUCUCACAUAAAAGUUAACUUCUGACAGGUAGAGAAAAGGAAAAAAUAGUUAAAGUGCAGGGUUGGAAAGAUGCCUGGAGGAAGAACCUCUAAUUCUUAUGCCAAUGGGUUCCUAAACUUAAGAGGGGUUGCUGGGGAACCACCAGUUCACCAGUCCAUCCUGAAAAGAGAAUGAAAUGGCCAACAAUUCUGACCCCCAGGAGUAAUGUGGUCUGGUGAGGCAUAAUUUUCUCCACCCUCAGAAAAAGGGUGAGGACAAAAACAGCUUAGAAGUCAAAGAAAAAAAGAUGUUUUAGUUUAUAUGUUACCAUCCUUCUUCAAGCCCCAUGUCUGGAUGCCAAAAGUAUUGCAGAACUUUGUCCUUAGUUCAGCUAAAACAGGGCUUUUGUCACAUGACCAGGAAAGGUUAGGCUCACAGACACAUAGAAAGGUGAGGAAAAUGGAAUUUACUGCGUGAAAAGGGAAAAGAAAAAAUAACUCUCAGCAAAGCAAGAGAGAGUCCUGUUAGGUUUCCUGCCUCACAGGUUGAAUCCCAGUUCACAGCACAGGAACAGGAGGGGCCAGGCUCCUCUCCACUCCCCUCCCCCGCAAAACGGUGCAAACUUCCUGAACUCUACCCCCUCCUCCUAGUGUACAGGUGGGCAUUAUUCAGAAAGAAUCAAUUGGGAAAGGGCGGGUUUCAUUUGCGACCAGCAGUCUGGUUUUUCAGCCUUCAGACUGUUUUAGGCUUGAAGGCAGGGUUUCACCUGGGACCCUUGGCUGUCUGCUGUCUCUCUGGACAUUUUUCUGUGAUUUAAUUAUCUGAGCCACACACCGUGGUAUUUUAUUAAAUAAUGAUGCAAAGUAGUUUCAUAAAAUUUAGCAAUUUUAAAAAUCAGACUACAAUUUAAUGCUUAAUUUAGUGUUUCCCAGCCUGGGAAGCCUUGAAAAGGAAAAAAAAAAAAAAAAAGUUGGAGAUAUUAUUGCAUGCGAUUGGUACUAUAGGGACUACAGCACAUUACAAUGAGCAUCUCUGAAAUGCAUAAACUUUCUAAAGCAUCUAAAUCAUCAAUAUAGAGCUACAGAGAAAUAAGCAGGAUAAUCUAAAAAUGACCCUGGGAACUUACUAGGGUUUUCUGGACAAGAUAGCUUGGACUGUAAGGUCCAAUUUUCCUCAGAGACAGGAUAUGCCCCCAGGUUCAGGCUUUCAUCAAACUAAUGACUCUAUCCCUAUGACAAGGCCUUGCAAUAUUCCACAGGCCUUCAGGUCUCUGGAUGCUGGGCAGCCUAUAUUGCAGAUAAUGCCUACAAAGAGCUGGCACACUGAUCCAGACUCUUCUGCUUUGACAGCCUCUAAUCUCCUCAUUGGCAAGUCUACUUUCCCCCAGCUGACCUUUAAAAAGGGGGAAAAGCUGGGAGGAGGAAAUAGGUGUCCACACUGUAGGCGCUGUAGCAUCUGGGUAGCAGCACUCACCUCUGGGGGACAAUAAGGGAAUUAAAGAUUGUGUAACUGUAUCAUCCCUACGCUUGCUUAUCCUUGGGUUUUGUAAAAUUUCCAAACGAGGUCUACCCCUAAAUCUUGCUGUAUGACUUUGUGGCAUUUGUCUAGAAUUCCUUUUCGUGACAGGAAAUCUAGAGGGAAUCCACCAUUUAGGACAGAAAAUUAAAAAAAAAAGUUAAAUGUACAGUUUAUGUCGUAAAACCUGGUAAAAGCCUUACUCUGAGAGGAGCACCUUACAAAUACCUUGUGUUUGUAUGACAGAAUGUUCUAAAAAGAAACUGAUCCUCCAAACAAAUUUAUGGAGAAGUAGAGUAGAUGAUCACCUUUUUCCUGUCCUGGGCAGUAUAACUUGUUCAGUGUUGCUGGACAAAGGGGUCUUGAUCCAGACCCUGAGAUAGGGUUCUUUGAUCUUGCACAGGAAGGAAUGCAAGGCAAGUCACAGAGUUCGGUGAGAAAGAUAGUUUAUUGAAAGCUACUCAGCUACAGAGUAGGGUGUUCUCAGAAAGCAAGAGGAGGAACACGUCAUCUUUGUUUUAAACUCUUCUUACAUAGGGGCCUCAUCUGUGUAAAAGCUAAGCUAAAUUAGCUCUACUUGUGGGUGAGCUGACAACAUGACAAAAUUUAGUACUUUGUUGAUUUAAAGAAAGUUAUAUUUGGUAUUAUAGUGCCUAAGUACAUCAGACAUGACUAUUACUAUCUUAAAAGCAUGUGUUGUUAUGUGAUAUCAGGACAUCUGAACAUUCCACUGUCGUAGGAAUUUGUCCUUGUGGGAAAGCAUUACUAAACUGCUUCAGUAGUUGUAAACAUCUCAUGACCAUUGCUCAUGACUAUCAAGGAAUAUGCUUUGCUAGUUUUAAGAUGAUGUUGAUUUUAAAAUGAUGUUGCCCUGGCUCUCCUAUGGUCCUUUUUCCCUAACAAAAGCAUAUGCAUGCUCAGGUCACCACACUGCUGAAACCCUGUAAACGUCCCUCCUGCCUGGGUAAAAUAAGUUUGAGUUUCUUAGCUUAUGAGUGAGAGUUUCCAUGAUGUGGCCUUUGUCUAUCAUGGAAAAGAUCCAUGAUACCCAUGGUUUCCAAAACUUGCCAUACUCUUCCACAUUACCUUACCUUUGCAGAGGCUGAUUCUCCUGCCUUAGCUAAGUUCCUUUUCAAUGCCCUGACACUAAUUACGGAAUGCCAAUUUCUUCGUAACAACUCUGUUACAUUUGUAUUUUGGUCCAUAUUUUUUCUAUUUUAUGUUGUCUUUUUAAAAAUUAUGUUUAUUUCCCCCUACUAGAUUGCUGCAAACUUUGGAGUUCAUUGUUUUAUGUACCUGCCAUGUAGCAUAAGGCCUGGACCAUUGUAAAUUCUCAGUAAUGAAUAUUCAGUGUCAUUAAAUUGUAUUACUAUUAUUUUUCCUUUGAAGGAUGACAUAGAAACUCUGCUGGACCAAUAUCCUAGCUGAUAAAAGUCAUAGUUGAUACUUGAAUUUGCCUUUUUACCUUAGCUCAAAGAAGUUCUGUCUACCAUACUGAUAAUAUGAAUAGUAACAAUAAAGUUAUUCUUUAAAAUUUUACUUUUAAAAGAUGGAAUUAGAACAAAAAAAUUAAGAAAGGGUUUCCUUUUUAACUUGAGUCAGUCAAUUUAACAGGUUUAACAUUGAAAAUCUUAUAAAAAUUCAAUUUAUUCUCUGGUGGAUAUUUUAAACUUCCAUUUUUUUAAUGACAAAGGAUAGUAUUACUGACAUCUGAAUGUACUUACUUACCCUUCCUAAUGUUGUAAACAAAUUUUUCUUAGAAUUCUGACAUUUUAAUUAAUCAUUUAAUCGGGAAAUUAAAAAAACUAAAUGUAUAUUUUAAAAGGAAUAUUUAUAUUACUGGUCCUUUAAGAUAGUAUUUUUUAAAUUAUUCUUUCAUAUUAGUCUAAAAUACUCUCUAGUUUAAAUAAUUCUGGAAAUUAUACUAUAUCACCUUUUAUAGAUUCAUCAAGCAUAUGAAUAAAACAAAACAAAAUAGAAGACCGAAAUAAAACCAUUAAUUUGACUUAAGCCAAGAUUUCCCAAACAUGUUUGUCCACAGAACUUACUGUGGCAUUACAUCUAUUAAAAUCCUAUUUGUAUUUUUUUUAAAUCAUUAUUAUUUUGGUUUGUGGGGAAAGUUUGCUUAAUGCCAAGGGGGUGAAUAUUGUUUCACAUCAGGCUGGAGUGCCACAUCUUAUCCACAGGAGGUAACUAAUGCCCCAUCAAGGAAUUCAAACUAAAGCACACAAAAUCUCCCUCCCUUCACUUUUUAGAUAGUUGGUCACAAAGUUGUAUUUUUGAAAAACAAUUUGUUUAACACUGAUCAGGGAGUUUGUGACUUAAAAAUAAUAGCAAGAGCAAAUUGUGGGUUGCUGAUUAAUCCAAAUAAAAUAUUUCUGCCAAAUUACUACUCAAGAGACAGAUUCUAAAAUUCUAAUGUGAAAUAGAAUCAGUCUAUGUCACAAAUAAGGUGAAACAUUCCUGUCAAUAAAUCCUAAAAGAAGAAACCUAAAAUUAAAUUGAGCUAAAUUGAAAGAAAUUUUAUCUCAGGGAAAAAUCCUGAUGGAGUAAAGUCUGGAGGAUUCCAGUGGGGAGAGGAGUGGAAUGGAUGGGGGGGAGCCUACCUAUGAAACCCCAAGCCUAGCCCCCUAAUGGUUGAAACCAGAGUGGGGAUGAAGACGACGGUGAUGAGGGAUGGGAAGAGAACAAUCAAUAUCAAACUGUAUUGAUCUGACUGAAAUCUAUUAAUUGCACUGAUGAUUGUUCAGUUGGUCACUCUAAUUCUCCCCUUAUGGAAGUAACUACUUAGGACCCAUUUUAUGGCUGUGACAAAGAGUUUGUGCAAUUUUGUGGAGUUUGCUAUACUAUACUUUACUGUAAAAGCCUAGUUGGGCUGCAGUGACUGGAUAAACAUAUUUAGUGUAGAAGUUUUCCCUGAUUAGCUUCAAAUCUAAGGGAACUAAAUUUAAGUCUGUGAGAGAAGUAACCAUAUACUUGAAGUGUUUCUCAUGUAAUUAUAAACCUGUUGUCAGAGACACUAUCUUACAAUGUUGAGGCCUGUUUAGGAAGCACCCACUGAUAAGAGCUCAUCUACUGCUAUACAGAAUGAAAAUGUAGUCUCAUAGAAUAAAAGCUACCUGAACCUCUUCAUUUUUGUUAAUACUUAAUUUUUUCACUAAACCUUGUAAAGCUUCUAGAACUCCUGAAAACAACCAGAACAAGUUUGUUUCAUUUACAUUCUCAGAUAAAAUAUUUUGGCCUCUUUAAAAAAUUUUCCCUCUCAGUCAAGAGGAUUUUGAACAAAUCCACAAAGCAAUGAUAUAUUUUCAACACCUACAGAAUUCCUAAGUGUUAAAAUAUUUUCUUUUUCUGAUUCUCAGAGACUAUUUUGAAAGUGCUAUUAUCUUAGUGGUGAAUCAAUAUACUCAGUUAUGAGAAUCUCGUACAUUUCCACAAGAAUGCUCUGAAAUAAAAAUGAAUUUGUUGGAUGGAAAAUUGGUGUUUUUUAAUGAAGAAUGAGAUCACUGGCUUCUCAAUGGUAGUAUAAGGAACAAUUCCACUUAUGGUGCUGUUUUUCAAAGGGAAUGCUUCCCUGCUAUAGCAAAAAAAAAUGUAGCAGAACAGGGGGUAUGGCUGGGUUGAUCUGGUUUACAUCUCUCUAAAAAUGCUUGAAGUAUGCUCUUGGAUCUCUGUAAAAAUUUCCUUUAGAGAUCCGAGAUUGAAAAAGAAAAAGUAACUACAGCAUAAGGAGGAUGUUAACUAAAGGAUGUUGUCAUUAUAAAUAGGGUGGGGAGGGUAAAACUUAUUGAAAAGGUGACAUUUGAACAAAGGUUGGAAGAAGGUACAGGAGGCAACCACAUUGAUUCUGGGGGAAGAAAAUUCCAGGCAGAGGAAACAGCUCUUACAAAGUCUCCAAGGAAGGAGCAUGACUCAGGUAUUAAGAAAUAGCAAGGAUGACUGGAACAGAAUGAGCAAAGAUGAGAAUAAUUGGAGAUGGGGCUGGAGAGCAAAGGGAGUGGAGGUGGAGAUCAAGUCAGGCCUUGUAAAUCUCACAAGAACUUUGACUUUUAUCCUGAGUGAAAUAGAAUGCCAAUGGAGGAUUUUGAACUGAGGAGCAAAUGAGUUUUAAAAGGAUCAGUUGGAUUCUCUGUGAAGAACAGUAGGUAAGGACAAGAAUGUAAGCAAAUGACCAUUAGGAUGCUAUUGAAACAUUCAAGUGAAAAAUAAUGGUGGCUUAAAACAGAGUGGUAGCUGUGAAGAUGGUGUGAAAGGGCCAGAUUCUGGAUAUGUUUUGAAGGUAGAGACAAAAGGAUUUCCAGAGAAAUUGAACAAAGGGUGUGAGAGAAAGAGAAUUGUUGAUCAUAAUUCCAAGGUCUGUGGCCUGAGAAACUGAAAUACUAUUUGCAUGGUGGAGUUUCAUAUUCCUGAAUUCCCAAUUAAUGUGAUAUCCAAUUAAGGAGGUUGUGCUUUGGUGACAACUAGCAUGAACUGCUUUAAUCCAAUUUUGUAACAGUUUAGAAAACCUGAUUCCAGUUGUAUAAUCUUUUGGUUAAAUUUCACCCAAAGACCCAAAGCCAGUCUAUAGCACCUAGAAAAAUGACCCACUAACAUCCUAAUGUGACACCUGUAACUAUAAUAUAGGUGUGCAUAUUUGCCAGAAUCCAUCUACACUAACACUGGGCUGAGUACACCAUCCAGGAACGGCUAGAGCAGCAUCUUGCUUUGACUGGUGUGCAGAGGUAGAUAAUUCUAAGAGCAAAACACUGGCUUUGGAAUGAGGCCCAGGUAAGUUUGAAUUUUAGUUCUGGCCCUUUAAACUCAUCUUGAGGCUUUCAUCUAUAAGAUAAGGCAUAUAAUAUUACUUCCUCUGUUUUUUUAAAUUAUCAUUGAAUGAGAUGCAUACAUACUCUAAUAACUGCUGAUUCUCAUUCUCUGCUCAUCUUUCUCCUAACUUCUGAUCCCUGAUCAUGUGCUAGUACUGGUAGUCUGGAUGGUACUUGUAUCAUGUUUCACUGUCAGCCAAAAAACUCAUUAAAGCCUGCAUCCCUUUGUAUUCCACUUAAACUGUUCUCUUUUGGGUGCCUUUUGUGAAGUACAAAAAGUCUUCUUACCUAGACUUAGUAAAAAUCCUAUUUUAAAAAGUAGGUUUUCUAGUUAUGUUACCAAAGCUUUUCAUUUUUGAUUUUACUACCUUUAUGGUUUAUAUAGUUGUUCCUGUGUGGCUCAUGGCAAGAACUUACUGAACAUUAUCUGUUUUUAAUAAUAGUAACAUUAUUAUUUGACAAUUACAGGUGAUGGAAAUCAAAGUCUAUGGUGUGGCUCCCUUUAAAAGCUUAUGGCUGCCCAUGAGUUUAUGAGAACCUUUUUUUCACAAAAAGCCUCCAUUCCCAUUGUUGUUUUCUACUGUCAAUUGAAAAUGCCUGGAGAAGCCAAGAUGGCCGAAUAGGAACAGCUCCGGUCUACAGCUCCCAGCGUGAGUGACGCAGAAGACGGGUGAUUUCUGCAUUUCCAUCUGAGGUACCGGGUUCAUCUCACUAGGGAGUGCCAGACAGUGGGCGCAGGUCAGUGGGUGCACGCACCCUGCGCCAGCCAAAGCAGGGCGAGGCAUUGCCUCACUUGGGAAGCGCAAGGGGUCAGGGAGUUCCCUUUCCGAGUCAAAGAAAGGGGUGACAGACGCACCUGGAAAAUCAGGUCACUCCCACCCGAAUAUUGCGCUUUUCGGACUGGCUUAAAAAACGGCACACCACGAGAUUAUACCCCGCACCUGGCUCGGAGGGUCCUACCCCACGGAGUCUCGCUGAUUGCUAGCACAGCAGUCUGCGAUCAAACUGCAAGGCGGCAGCGAGGCUGGGGGAGGGGCGCCCACCAUUGCCCAGGCUUGAUUAGGUAAACAAAGCCAGCCAGGGAAGCUCAAACUGGGUGGAGCCCACCACAGCUCAAGGAGGCCUGCCUGCCUCUGUAGGCUCCACCUCUGGGGGCAGGGCACAGACAAACAAAAAGACAGCAGUAACCUGUGCAGACUUCAAUGUCCCUGUCUGACAGCUUUGAAGAGAGCAGUGGUUCUCCCAGCACGCAGCUGGAGAUCUGAGAACGGGCAGACUGCCUCCUCAAGUGGGUCCCUGACCCCUGACCCCCGAGCAGCCUAACUGGGAGGCACCCCCCAGCAGGGGCACACUGACACCUCACACGGCAGGGUAUUCCAACAGACCUGCAGCUGAGGGUCCUGUCUGUUAGAAGGAAAACUAACAGAAAGGACAUCCACACCAGAAACCCAUCUGUACAUCACCAUCAUCAAAGACCAAAAGUAGAUAAAACCACAAAGAUGGGGAAAAAACAGAACAGAAAAACUGGAAACUCUAAAACGCAGAGCGCCUCUCCUCCUCCAAAGGAACACAGUUCCUCACCAGCAACGGAACAAAGCUGGAUGGAGAAUGACUUUGACGAGCUGAGAGAAGAAGGCUUCAGAUGAUGAAAUUACUCUGAGCUACGGGAGGACAUUCAAACCAAAGGCAAAGAAGUUGAAAACUUUGAAAAAAAUUUAGAAGAAUGUAUAACUAGAAUAACCAAUACAGAGAAGUGCUUAAAGGAGCUGAUGGAGCUGAAAACCAAGGCUCAAGAACUACGUGAGGAAUGCAGAAGCCUCAGGAGCCGAUGAGAUCAACUGGAAGAAAGGGUAUCAGCAAUGGAAGAUGAAAUGAAUGAAAUGAAGUGAGAAGGGAAGUUUAGAGAAAAAAGAAUAAAAAGAAAUGAGCAAAGCCUCCAAGAAGUAUGGGACUAUGUGAAAAGACCAAAUCUACGUCUGAUUGAUGUGCCUGAAAGUGACGGGGAGAAUGGAACCAAGUUGGAAAACACUCUGCAGGAUAUUAUCCGGGAGAACUUCCCAAUCUAGCAAGGCAGGCCAACGUUCAGAUUCAGGAAAUACAGAGAACGCCACAAAGAUACUCCUCGAGAAGAGCAACUCCAAGACACAUAAUUGUCAGAUUCACCAAAGUUGAAAUGAAGGAAAAAAUGUUAAGGGCAGCCAGAGAGAAAGGUCGGGUUACCCUCAAAGGGAAGCCCAUCAGACUAACAGCAGAUCUCUCGGCAGAAACCCUACCAGCCAGAAGAGAAUGGGGGCCAGUAUUCAACAUUCUUCAAGAAAAGAAUUUUCAACCCAGAAUUUCAUAUCCAGCCAAACUAAGCUUCAUAAGUGAAGGAGAAAUAAAAUACUUUACAGACAAGCAAAUGCUGAGAGAUUUUGUCACCACCAGGCCUGCCCUAAAAGAGCUCCUGAAGGAAGCACUAAACAUAGAAAGGAACAACCGGUACCAGCGGCUGCAAAAUCAUGCCAAAAUGUAAAGACCAUCGAGACUAGGAAGAAACUGCAUCAACUAACGAGCAAAAUCACCAGCUAACAUCAUAAUGACAGGAUCAAAUUCACACAUAACAAUAUUAACUUUAAAUGUAAAUGGACUAAAUGCUCCAAUUAAAAGACACAGACUGGCAAAUUGGAUAAAGAGUCAAGACCCACCAGUGUGUUGUAUUCAGAAAACCCAUCUCACGUGCAGAGACACACAUAGGCUCAAAAUAAAAGGAUGGAGGAAGAUCUACC
Molecule: long non-coding RNA, 28096 nt
Filed under: Homo sapiens (human)
Lineage: Eukaryota; Metazoa; Chordata; Mammalia; Primates; Hominidae
Description: non-protein coding lnc-HTR1B-1:5
Source: RNAcentral